Molecule: long non-coding RNA, 620 nt
Filed under: Vulpes vulpes (red fox)
Lineage: Eukaryota; Metazoa; Chordata; Mammalia; Carnivora; Canidae
Description: lncRNA (ENSVVUG00000008579.1)
Source: RNAcentral
GAAACCUUCAGGCUUUGCAAAGAUACAAUGAUCUCUAUAAAAACAUAGCAACACAAGAGAAAUUUGAGUUGUUAUAUGUUCACAAUAUGUACAUCUAUGUAGAGAUAGAUAUUUUUGUUUUCUUGUUUCCUUUCUGUUCCAGCAACUAUAAAUUUUAUGUUGGCCUCAGACUCUACAACAGAUAUCUCCAGUUUGAAGGACUCCACUUCGUUGAAAUAUACCUAGAGGCAAGAAGCCCACUACCUACGGAUGUUAUUUGCUCCUUUAGAAUUUAGUAUCAAAAGACAACUUAUGAUGCAGAACAUAGCUGGAUGCAUAAGAGAAGAACAGAAGAGAAAUACCAAAUCGGUCUCCUUGAAGCAUCAUACAAUAAUAACAGUAUUACUUAACAAUCCAGAUAUCAAGUGGUUUGAAGUACAAGUGAUAUUCAACAUCUUUUAUAACCAGCCUGGUCAGAAAAAGGCAGGCCACUGAGUAUUACCUGUUGAACGUUACCUAUAGAUGGAAAAUCUCCUUGGAUCACCAACAACACUGAAUAGGCAGCUGUUUUAAUGCUAUUUCAGGUGAAGGCUGUGAAUCUAAUUCAACAAUAAAAUUUAUACACAUUUUAUUAGAAUACA